UACGAAGGGGGCAAGCGUUACUCGGAAUUAUUGGGCGUAAAGCGUGCGCAGGCGGCUUAGCAAGUUGGAAGUGAAAGCCUAGGGCUUAACCUUAGAAUUGCUUUCAAAACUGCUCUGCUAGAGUACUAGAGAGGAUAGCGGAAUUCCUAGUGUAGAGGUGAAAUUCGUAGAUAUUAGGAGGAACACCGGAGGCGAAAGCGGCUAUCUGGCUGGAUACUGACGCUGUUGCACGAAAGCGUGGGGAGCAAACAGG
RNAcentral lists this ribosomal RNA (253 nucleotides) under uncultured bacterium. RNAcentral's name for it is "partial 16S ribosomal RNA". It matches the Rfam family "Bacterial small subunit ribosomal RNA", at positions 524 to 776 of the family's 1533-position model. The record is from RNAcentral.